RNAcentral lists this non-coding RNA (30 nucleotides) under Rattus norvegicus (Norway rat). The record is from RNAcentral. Lineage: Eukaryota; Metazoa; Chordata; Mammalia; Rodentia; Muridae.
UCUGUUUAUGUAGAAUGAUUUUGUUAAAAG